This 771-nucleotide long non-coding RNA is filed under the name Crocodylus porosus (Australian saltwater crocodile). Its description in RNAcentral is "lncRNA (ENSCPRG00005018026.1)". Lineage: Eukaryota; Metazoa; Chordata; Crocodylia; Crocodylidae. The record is from RNAcentral.
CAUCAGAUCAAGCAAGGUCCGGGAUUAGAGAAACACUGUGCCACGAGGCACUUUCUCAGCACGACAUUAACCUCAGAACACAAAGCGAUGCGUCUGGAAGCAGAACUGCUGAGCUGCAAACAACCUGGGUGUGAGUCAGAGAACAUUAGGACAGGCCCUGUCCACCAGGAACAUAGACUUGAUUGCAUGUGACUUGUGUCAACUCUGCAGACAUCAAGAGCAGAACAUAAAAGCACGGCAACAGAGAGAUUUCUAAAUGAGCCAUUCAGCCUCUAAGACUAGCCCACAACUGUGAAAGCAGAAUCCCAAUCACCUGCUCAGGCUCAUUAGCAUCUUUGGAUCCUAACAACCCACUCAGUUGCAGUAAAUGAAAAACUAAUCCCUAUUUUAUGCCAUUGGCUGAAAAGGAUUAACCAACUCUUGCUGCCCAUGCAAUCAGCCUUGCAGCGGAGAGAUUACUGCCUUCUAAUACAAUAACUGAAAUGAAAGCCAUUACUUACAAUUAAUGUUGUCUAAUCACCAUUGUGGAUUAGGCUCAGAGCUGCAGCCCUUGGACCUUCCACUUUAGUUACAAGCCCAGAACUCUUCUUGAUGGGCAUUUCACACAUGAAAUUAGUGAAGAAUUGUAGCAGAGGAAAACAGCGUAACUCUAAGAGGAGAAUUUCUCUCAAAGGAAGAAAUCCAGUUCUGCCUGUUCUAGAGGAAGUCCCUUCAAAUUACUCAGCACUCCCUGCUGGACAGCUGUCUUGUAACCAGCUAGCUGAGAGCUGA